GUUUUGUAGUGUUUACACCGGGAUAAAAUAAAUAAAUCCAUAAUAAGAUAUCCAGAGACCGGUAUUAUUACACUCGAUAAUUGCAAUACAAUGGCUGACGACUCAUUGGGCUUUUAUUGUGCCAGACGGGGUUCCUGUACUAUAGUGGUUUGAUUUGGAGUUGUGCGAUUGGUUAAUUUGGUCGGGGUACCUACUGCUGUCAGG
Molecule: non-coding RNA, 204 nt
Organism: Cinara cedri
Lineage: Eukaryota; Metazoa; Arthropoda; Insecta; Hemiptera; Aphididae
Source: the annotation of a GenBank genome assembly